AUGGACUAACAACCAAUCAUCUCCGCCCUCGACAUGCGCAAUGAACCUGUCACCAUCGACGCGCUCUACUCUCUGGUGGCGAACUUCGAUUAGCGGAUCGAGAUGUUCCAUGGCGGUGGUGCUGGUGGCUUCAAGUCAUCGGUAAACGCUACCUCCACGGGUCGUCCAAACGCUGGCAAGGGAGGCUACUGCAACCAGAAGGGCGGCGAUGGUGGUGCCCCCCGAGGAAACGACUUUGGUAGCUGCCGCCACCGCCGUUGUAGCUUCCUCCACCAGUGCCGUAGUUGCCGCCACCGGGAGCACCGUAGCCACCGCUGUUUCUUCUGGGGCUGCCCAACCCUUCUGGUUGUGGUAGCCUCCCUUGCCGGUGUUUGGACGACCCCUGGAGGCAGCGUUUACCGAUGA
RNAcentral lists this ribosomal RNA (405 nucleotides) under Triticum aestivum (bread wheat). RNAcentral's name for it is "partial small subunit ribosomal RNA". Lineage: Eukaryota; Viridiplantae; Streptophyta; Magnoliopsida; Poales; Poaceae. The record is from RNAcentral.